Molecule: small RNA, 107 nt
Filed under: Marmota monax (woodchuck)
Lineage: Eukaryota; Metazoa; Chordata; Mammalia; Rodentia; Sciuridae
Source: RNAcentral
GCUGAGCACAUUGGCUCGUGCCUGUAAUCCCAGCUGCUCAGGAGGCUGAGGCAGGAGCAUCUCAAGUGUGAGGCCAGACCAGGCAACUUAGAUAGACCCUGCCUCAA